Long non-coding RNA from Capsicum annuum, 879 nucleotides. RefSeq lists it as uncharacterized. The transcript is spliced from 3 exons. NCBI's taxonomy places the organism in Eukaryota, Viridiplantae, Streptophyta, Magnoliopsida, Solanales, Solanaceae. The record is from RefSeq and is a predicted model, not a curated record.
UCCUUUUUUGAUUUAAUUUGGGAUUUUAUUAAUAAAAUCAGCCUAAUACAUGAAUGGGAAAUUUAUAUUACAAUACCAAUACAAAACUGAUCCAAAUAUAAAAUGACCCAACUGAAAAACUAAAUGGAUUGGCCCAACUACUUGACCCGGUCUGGCAUACUCAUAUAAAAUGAGUAGGGUUUCCAAAUUCAACAGUAGAGCUGAGCUUCACUUUUCUCCAUCUCCUUCAUCAUGUUUGUCUUCACUAAUCUCCAAUUCAUUCUUUUGCAGUUGUAGGUGGUAAAUACCUUGCCAUUAUUGCUCUAAGUUGAUGAUUCCAGCUUGCAUGAGUGAAAUCUUCAGUACAUUUCCAUUACUUUUUGGUGCUAAAACUCUGGGUCUCGUCUUCUGAACCUUGACUCCUUCUAAUACUACUGCUGGGAUGGAGAUACUGGGAUGCUCGGACCCAUUGAUAGUUAAGGAGGAACAAAGAUCUCAAUCGCUUAAAUUUGAUCUGACUUGGUGACCCCCAAUCUACUGAGAUUCCCUUUUUAUUGGCUAGCGUAGAUAGGCAAACUAGUAUUUUCACUUUUUUGUUUAGCUUUCCUGUUUGUAUGUGUUGUAUGUGAAAGAACUUGUUGUAGCCUUUCUAGUCCUUUUAACUUUUUUCUACUCUUAUCCUCAGAUAUGGACAAUUUUAUUGGUCACUAUUUAGUAUUUUUCUAUCUGAACUUGGUAGCUGGUUGAAUGCUGUAAAUAUAAACUUUUCCUGCUCAAAUGCUAAAUUAGCUAAGUAAUCUGCAAGUUGGUUGCCUUCACUGAAUGUGUGACUAAAUUGUACUUGCUUGUGUUGUAACAACAUCUUUAUCCUGUUUAUUGUAUCUGCAAUAUUGUAUGGUA